This 406-nucleotide ribosomal RNA is filed under the name uncultured bacterium. Its description in RNAcentral is "partial 16S ribosomal RNA". It matches the Rfam family "Bacterial small subunit ribosomal RNA", at positions 30 to 526 of the family's 1533-position model. The record is from RNAcentral.
AUUGAACGCUGGCGGCAGGCCUAACACAUGCAAGUCGAGCGAGCGUCGGACGGGUGAGUAAUGUAUGGGGAUCUGCCUGAUGGAGGGGGAUAACUACUGGGAACUGUAGCUAAUACCGCAUACAAUCAGAUGAACCCAAAUGGGAUUAGCUUGUGGGUGAGGUAACGGCUCACCUAGGAGAAGAUCCCUAGCUGGUCUGAGAGGAUGAUCGGCCACACUGGGACUGAGACACGGCCCAGACUCCUACGGGAGGCAGCAGUGGGGAAUAUUGCACAAUGGGCGAAAGCCUGAUGCAGCAAUGCCGCGUGAGUGAAGAAGGCCUUCGGGUUGUAAAGUACUUUCAGUCGUGAGGCGUUACCGACAGAGGAAGCACCGGCUAACUCCGUGCCAGCAGCCGCGGUAAUUC